Molecule: long non-coding RNA, 4396 nt
Organism: Equus quagga
Lineage: Eukaryota; Metazoa; Chordata; Mammalia; Perissodactyla; Equidae
Exons: 2
Source: RefSeq, a predicted model, not a curated record
UGCCACCAGGUCAGCCCUAGGAACAGGCUUUCUUGAUCCCUACCUCAUUAAAAACAAUUCAUUGUCUUAACUAUCAGCAUGACUGGUGGUUGGUGACAGUAAGAGGUAGCCUUGGAAACAGGCGGAUUUAUUAGGAAAGAAAAGGUUGUGCACAGAGCUGCUUUUGGGUAAAUCAUACCAAAAUGAUCGCCUGAACACUGUGAAGCCCAAAUUAAACUAUCACAGAGACCGAGCAUUGGACUCUUGAAGGUGGUGAGUUAGGGAGAGGGAUGUAGCAUAGUAAGCUGUUACUGAAACAGUGCUGUAGGCAAUAAUAGACACAUGUAAAUAAAAUAGUGUGUAAUGUGGGCUCACAAUCUCUGUGCUAAAACCAUGGCUGCUUUUCUUUCUCACUCAUCUCUCAAAGCCUCCUUCCCUUCUCUGUUUUCUUUCCCCAUCAACACUCCGCUCUAUAACUUAUUUUAACCAGAUUAUUCCUCCAUAAUUAAUUUUUUUACAUGGUAGGAGAAAGGGUAAAAAGUAUGGAACACAGGGGCAGUGUAAUUUCUCUUAAGUCCUGAAUUCUCUAGACUUAGUCUUAGCUGUAAAAUGUACUAAUUUCCCUAUGUAUUUAAUUUAAGGGUAAGUUAAAAAUAAAGCCUUAUUCUUUCCUUUUACAAGAAUUAGAGGAUUGCUACAUUAUACACCUCGUGAUCCAUAUUUUGGGAAAAAACUCAAAGAAAAAUAAAGAUCAUUAAACUUACCAUAGAUUUCUAAGACUAGACGCUCUUCUCCCUAUGAAUAUUACUGAAGAGAGAAUUAGAUACUUUUAAAGAAAUAAUCUGGAAAUGCCUCUAACUAUGAAAUUUACCAAAUAGAGGCUCAAGUACCUGUAAAGGAAUAAGAAAAUAGCAGAACCCUCCUCUCUAAUUCUAUUUUCUUCUUCUGAUCUAUGCUUUCUUCUAAAUAUGCAACAUCUGCCUCGACAUAGCACUAACUUAGCUCUUGGUUGUGUGCGGUGGUGGCAGCCAGUGUGUCAUUAAUCUGAAAAGACUGUCCCCUCUCAUCAUGUUGUCAAAAAGUAAGGAAACCUGAGAAUUUCUCAGUGGUAUUGAUGACACGUGGGUCCAGGCCAAUUUGCAGUGAUUCCAUGACCCUAUUUUAGUCCCUUGUUGAUAAUGGAGUCCUCAGUGUGUUCUUUCUUUUAAAAAUCUCUUAUAUUUUGAGUAAAUUGAUGUUCAAUUUGUUUGUGAAAUUUUUAUUUCUAUCAUGAAGUGCUAUCACAGAAAUGAUAAUCUUAAAGUGUGAACACAUAACGUUAUACUUCUAGCUUCUCAACGUUAUGGUCUUUCUAAUUCUGCACUGUAGGAGUUUGCGUCUAGGGCUGCUUAGCCUCUGUCUGAAAAGUAGCAAAGUUCCAGCGCAGACCCUGGAAUAAUUCAGAUCCCCUGCAUGUGGUGGAUAAGGAAAGCGAGGUCAGCAGAUCAUCAGCCCAAUGUUGGAGCAGGCUGUAACUUCUGAUAGCAUCUGACCCCUGCACUCCAGUAUUCUCAGGAAAGUGAUUACUCAUCUAGACUUGUGCACCUGAGUCCUUCCCUUCUGCUUUGGUAGGUCAGAAACUUGAUGGCCACUUUUCUCCCUGCACUACACUGCCCCCACCCCCUGCAAACUGGAUUCUCCUCCAUUUCCUCAAUUCCGUCUAGCCCUGGUGAGUGAACUGCCCCUCUGAAUGUCACUGUUGUGUGACUAAGCAUCCAAUAGCUACUCCUGGACCUCCCUUUCUUUCUGGAGCUUUUCCAACGGCCCGGGAUUUGGAUAUCCACCAGUCACCUGUCUUUGCUGACAGCAGUGUGGUAGAGCUCAGGUUCAAGCCCAGAUUUCGUCACCUCCAAGGACUGUGCUUGUCUGCACUAGAUCCUAGCAUUAUCUAUCCUGACAUUUUUACAGUGUUCCCCAAAUGAGGGAUUUGGCAGAGGGGGCUCUGCAAAGAAGCCCUCUGGAGAACACUAGCUUCCUAAACCGUCACCUUAUGGGGCAAAAGCCAACUUUCUUUGUCUAGUUGAUGUCAGUGUGACUGAAGGCCUCAGUGUUCCUAGGAGGAGAUAGUCUAGCAGGCCUAGGGCAUGGGGGUGAAGAUGGCCCACCACAAGGUGACCUUCUCAUUUGGCAGCAAGGGCAAAUUUGAAGCUUUCUUGGUCUAUAAAUCAGUCUAUAAAAAUAAAGUAAGGCUUUGGAGUAACAGCCACUAGCUUUGAGGAGUCAAACAGUCAUCCAACAUCCAACAUCUUACAUCAGUGUCUUUCUGAGGCAGAAGGAAAGUCAUAUGCCUACUCUCUUUUGAAAUGAAAGCAGAAGUUAUUUUUGCUGCAGAGCUGUAGCUUAACAUUUUCAGCAAGACAUGGAUGCCUUUUCUCAAUCUUCAUCUAGCAUGCUCUGACUACAACUCUCUCUUCAGAGUUCAGUGGAACUGAGACCAGGGUCCAGGUGGAUGAUUAAGGCCUGAAUCCCAAACUUGCCUUGGAUCAUACCACUGUUUCAGGUAAAAUCAGGGGGUAGCUCAGCCUAAAUUAUGCAAAUUAUUAUCUGUUGCAGUCCUGAGAAUAUGCCUCUCAGAUCUCCUACUGCAGGAAGCAUAAUCGACCUCCAGCCCUAGUUGCAAGGCCACGCUUCCAACCAACUGGCUGCUCCCAGCCCCUGACUGAGCAUGGCAGGAAUACCACAGAGGCCCAUUCCUGGGAUACAGGGCCUCCUCUAAUGGGUGUCUUUGGCUCGAAGACUCCCUUUUGACCUUGAUGAAACUUUCUUAGAACCACACGGUAGUCAGUGGCUUUCCUCCAUUCCCUUCUUCCUUCUUUCUUUCCUCCCUCCUUUCUCCUCUCCUUCCCUCCUUGCCUCUCUGCUUCAUGGGUAUCAGACCUGCCUUAUGGUCUGAUGGCUCUUCCUGCCUCCUCCUCCUCCAUCCCCAUUUUCCCUCACAGAUGUUUUCCCCAAUAAAUCUCUUACACAUUUAAUCUCUUCUCAGCAUCUGUCUCUCAAAGUACCUGGACUAAAUCAUUAUUUAACUAUUUUGUUUUGCUUGCAUUAUUUAGGACCAAACAUAAUUUUUUAAUUCAGGGUCAAAUAUCAUUCCUUAGAAGGAGGAAGACCUAAAAAUAAAGAAAUAUGUGUGUGAAUUAUAUUGAUGAAUUAGGUCUGCUGACUUAAACGUGUGGAAAAGUGUUCCAGCUGUGAAUGACCUAAAAUCUCUAGCGCGAGGCCCGAUCAAGUGGAAGAGCCAUUGGAAGAACCAGAAGGAAAGAGCCAAUAAGCAAUCUCAAGGAAGACACCAAGCUCUUCCUCAAAAUACCUAGACUGAUCAUCCACUGAUGCUUCUGGCCUGACCCAGGCUUUACUGUGAGAGUCCAGCUCCAGCACGCCCUUCACGUUGAUAUGGGUGCCUUCAGCAACUGUCCUCCUUUAUCCCCAGUUAUGUAUCUGUUUAUUAUUGGUUAUUGGGCAUUAUUGUCAGUAUGGACUCACAGAUUACUAUUUUCCCCCUUGGCUUAUAAUUUAUUAACACAAUUAUUUUGGUGCUCAAAUUGUCCUGGAUCUGGCCUUUGGAUGCACCAUCAGGCUGGCUCCUGUGUCUUUAUGACAUGCCGUGGGUAGUUUGUUUUUUUUUUUUUAAAAUAACUGCAUUCUAAUAAUAAAUUCCACUAUUACUGGAAAAAAUAAAAGCAGACUUUUAAAAAUGCAAAUCUCAUCUAAAAUAAUUUCAGGCUGCUUUUUUGUUGCUUGAAUUGUAUUGCCCCUAGUCCUUUUUGUUAUAAAGGUUUUUAUUAAUUUUUUUCAAUAAAUACAAAUUUCUUGAGGAGCCAUAGUGUGUUAUGUGCCCGAAAUUUUAUUGAGGCAAAAAGGGAAGGUAAAAGAAGUAUAACCUUCUUCCUUGCAUCAAGGAAUUGAUAGUAUAGCUAUGGACAGAAGGUCUCUUCCAACGUUUGAAUAACAAUUGGUGGCAAAGCACAUGUGAAGAUGAAUAGAAGUUAAGUAAAACCUCCUACUUCUAAUCAGUUGCAAGGGAAACCCAAUCAAUUCAUCCCUGAUGCCAGCCCAGCCUUCCUGAGCUCUCCCAGGGGCUGUGGACAGCCUGAAACCCACACUUUCCAGUCUCCCCGGUGCACUGGGCAGCACCUGAGAGGCCCUGGUGGACAGAAGGUAAGCCGGGAGCUUCUUCCCCAGAAGCCAGUGGCCAUCUGCAGAUGCAGACAGCUGGUGUGGGUGUUCGUCUGUGGUUUUUGGUUGUACUCUGAGAAUCACCUGCGUCAGUGCUGAAGGAUUGGUGGGGGAUUCUUUGUGAUCCAUGCCUUCUACUGUUUCUGUAUCUCCGGAAGAUGUGUUAAGUCUUUAGUUCCCAGUAAUAAACUUCUUACUCAAACUA